Macaca mulatta (Rhesus monkey) is the source of this 2213-nucleotide non-coding RNA. Lineage: Eukaryota; Metazoa; Chordata; Mammalia; Primates; Cercopithecidae. The record is from RefSeq and is a predicted model, not a curated record.
AUCUCCUCUAAAGUCAAGAUGGGUCUCACAAGCAAUAGUAUCUAAAGUUUGAUGAACUAUGCUAUGAAUGUUUUAUAUAUGUGCAUGUGUGAAGUGUAUUGCUAUGUGAUAUUUAUUUCUGAGUAUGGGUCACAGUCACUAUUUUACCUUCAAAGGCUUAUUUAUGGUAGCAAGGUUGGGGCAGCCUGGGGAAAUUGGAAUACCACCUAGAAUUGGAUGCCUCCAUUCUGGGUGGGGAAAUUGAGAGAAGAUAUAAGUAUCCUUGGGCUCUGGAAGCAAAUAGAGUUGUUUCACUGGCCAACUAUAUCAGACAAGUGUGAUCAAGCCACCAGAGUCAGGCAUUGACAAUCAGAUGUAAUAGGACUGUAAGAAUUCCCUGUGAACAGAGGGAAUCCAGGAUCUGACAAGGCUUUGGGGCUCUUCAUAGCAGCAUGCCUGAUCGGUUAAACCAGCAGGAGUGAAACCUCAGCCUUUAGUGGCAUAUGGUGCCAGGAUGGUUACUAAGAGGAAGUCUUUGGUAUAAAGAACCAGGCUCAAGUCCCCUCACAAAGGAUGGAACAGCCAGGCUGUGGCACUAGGGAGCCAGCCUCAGGAUGAAGAAACUGCUCUUUACUGGGGUCACCUCCUUAACCACUUCUCAACCAGGCCCAACAUUUUGUUUGCUUACUGCUUCCUCUUUUUGUUGAACUCUUAGUUACCUCUAUAGAGGAUUCAUUUUUUAAAGAUAUGCUCAGGGAGAGAGCCCACCUGACUCUGCUUUGGGUGUCUAAGGUGAGGGGACUGGGUCUCUGGGACUAAAUGGAAGUCAAGCCAAGGCCUUUCUAGCAAAGAGGGCAACUGGAAUCCCUGAGUGUUGGGUUGGGUUUACAUGAAUCCUAUGUGUAUGAAUCUGAGUAUAAUCCCUCUUAGAGCGGGGAUGAGCCUUUGGGUUAGAGCAGGAUCAGUUGCCAUAAGAGGAGGAUACUGUGUUUGAAUCCUGGUGUAGCUUACACCAUCUCACCUCUUGAGAGGAUGAAAUGACGCAUGCGUGUAUAAACCACCAUGAGUAGGCUGUGUCAACAAAUAUAAGGAAGACUUAAGAAUCUGUGCGCCAUGGCUUUGAAAUAAAGCACUGUACUUCUUUCCCUCUCCCAGGUCUCUCUGGUGAAACCCUAUCUUCUUUACUCCAUUGUAGACAGAAAGAGGUCUUCUCAGAUGAUCUGUUCCAUUUCUUUAGAGGAGAAUGUCCUAAUUUCUUGCCCUGGAAAUUACUGACUGUGGGCACUUCUGCAUGAGGGAAUGGGUCGGAUAAGUUAUUUAAUACACAGAUCCCUCUGGUGAUAUUUGAGCUUCCUGGACUGUGCGGAGAGACUCAAUGAUGGGCCACUGAGGAGUUGGACCACAACAGAGUUUCUUGGCCUUAGCAUUAUUGGCAUUUGGGGCCAGAUAAUUCUGGUGUUGUUAGGUGCAGUCCUGUGCAUUGUAAGGCACUCUGCUGUUUUAUGAGACAGGCAUUAGUGUCCCCACUUACAGUUAAGGAAACUGAGGCACAGAGCAGUUCAGUGGCAUGAGGUCACACAGCUGGUAAGUGACAGAUCCAAGAUUUGAACUCUGACUCUAAACCUUGAGCUCUUAAUAUUCUAUUACAUUUGAUUUUUGCUGGUUGACUAUUGUUUUGACUCUUCCACAAACUUCUAUAUUAUUUUAUGUCUCCCAACAAAGUGUAUGAACAACGUAUGAUUCAAGGAACUUUAAAAAUUGUCCCUUUUCAGAUAUUUUAAUGGCUCUUGAAAUUAAAACUCCAAAACCUCAGGAUCACCAUAGUUAAUCAGAACUAGAAGCUCAUAUAGAAUUGCUUUCUGCUUAAUUCUGUAGGGGAAAAAAGCUGAAUGGAAAGAAAGUAAUUUAUUGAAAAAUACUGAUUUCAGCCUCUGAAUUUUGGCAAAUCUCCUAUAUCUUUUAGAAUUGAUAUUCAAUAGAAGAAAUGAGAUUUGUGAACCUCAGUCAUACGUUUGCUAUGCUCUAACUACUAAGGCAGAUGGGUUGACUGAUGUUUAUUCAUUCAACAAACAUUUAGUUUUUGGUGAUUCUACCUUGGAGCUAGCUACAAUACAAGACACUGUAAAAGGAAUAAAAUAACGGUUGUCUCUAGGGUUCCAUAAUCUAAAAGAGGAAGGCGUAACUGAAAGCAAAUAGGUAUAUUUCUAUAAGCAAUUGCUAGUGCUUUUUUGCUG